Molecule: ribosomal RNA, 2904 nt
Filed under: Escherichia coli
Lineage: Bacteria; Pseudomonadati; Pseudomonadota; Gammaproteobacteria; Enterobacterales; Enterobacteriaceae
Description: 23S ribosomal RNA
Rfam family: Bacterial large subunit ribosomal RNA
Source: RNAcentral
GGUUAAGCGACUAAGCGUACACGGUGGAUGCCCUGGCAGUCAGAGGCGAUGAAGGACGUGCUAAUCUGCGAUAAGCGUCGGUAAGGUGAUAUGAACCGUUAUAACCGGCGAUUUCCGAAUGGGGAAACCCAGUGUGAUUCGUCACACUAUCAUUAACUGAAUCCAUAGGUUAAUGAGGCGAACCGGGGGAACUGAAACAUCUAAGUACCCCGAGGAAAAGAAAUCAACCGAGAUUCCCCCAGUAGCGGCGAGCGAACGGGGAGCAGCCCAGAGCCUGAAUCAGUGUGUGUGUUAGUGGAAGCGUCUGGAAAGGCGCGCGAUACAGGGUGACAGCCCCGUACACAAAAAUGCACAUGCUGUGAGCUCGAUGAGUAGGGCGGGACACGUGGUAUCCUGUCUGAAUAUGGGGGGACCAUCCUCCAAGGCUAAAUACUCCUGACUGACCGAUAGUGAACCAGUACCGUGAGGGAAAGGCGAAAAGAACCCCGGCGAGGGGAGUGAAAAAGAACCUGAAACCGUGUACGUACAAGCAGUGGGAGCACGCUUAGGCGUGUGACUGCGUACCUUUUGUAUAAUGGGUCAGCGACUUAUAUUCUGUAGCAAGGUUAACCGAAUAGGGGAGCCGAAGGGAAACCGAGUCUUAACUGGGCGUUAAGUUGCAGGGUAUAGACCCGAAACCCGGUGAUCUAGCCAUGGGCAGGUUGAAGGUUGGGUAACACUAACUGGAGGACCGAACCGACUAAUGUUGAAAAAUUAGCGGAUGACUUGUGGCUGGGGGUGAAAGGCCAAUCAAACCGGGAGAUAGCUGGUUCUCCCCGAAAGCUAUUUAGGUAGCGCCUCGUGAAUUCAUCUCCGGGGGUAGAGCACUGUUUCGGCAAGGGGGUCAUCCCGACUUACCAACCCGAUGCAAACUGCGAAUACCGGAGAAUGUUAUCACGGGAGACACACGGCGGGUGCUAACGUCCGUCGUGAAGAGGGAAACAACCCAGACCGCCAGCUAAGGUCCCAAAGUCAUGGUUAAGUGGGAAACGAUGUGGGAAGGCCCAGACAGCCAGGAUGUUGGCUUAGAAGCAGCCAUCAUUUAAAGAAAGCGUAAUAGCUCACUGGUCGAGUCGGCCUGCGCGGAAGAUGUAACGGGGCUAAACCAUGCACCGAAGCUGCGGCAGCGACGCUGAUGCGUUGUUGGGUAGGGGAGCGUUCUGUAAGCCUGCGAAGGUGUGCUGUGAGGCAUGCUGGAGGUAUCAGAAGUGCGAAUGCUGACAUAAGUAACGAUAAAGCGGGUGAAAAGCCCGCUCGCCGGAAGACCAAGGGUUCCUGUCCAACGUUAAUCGGGGCAGGGUGAGUCGACCCCUAAGGCGAGGCCGAAAGGCGUAGUCGAUGGGAAACAGGUUAAUAUUCCUGUACUUGGUGUUACUGCGAAGGGGGGACGGAGAAGGCUAUGUUGGCCGGGCGACGGUUGUCCCGGUUUAAGCGUGUAGGCUGGUUUUCCAGGCAAAUCCGGAAAAUCAAGGCUGAGGCGUGAUGACGAGGCACUACGGUGCUGAAGCAACAAAUGCCCUGCUUCCAGGAAAAGCCUCUAAGCAUCAGGUAACAUCAAAUCGUACCCCAAACCGACACAGGUGGUCAGGUAGAGAAUACCAAGGCGCUUGAGAGAACUCGGGUGAAGGAACUAGGCAAAAUGGUGCCGUAACUUCGGGAGAAGGCACGCUGAUAUGUAGGUGAAGCGACUUGCUCGUGGAGCUGAAAUCAGUCGAAGAUACCAGCUGGCUGCAACUGUUUAUUAAAAACACAGCACUGUGCAAACACGAAAGUGGACGUAUACGGUGUGACGCCUGCCCGGUGCCGGAAGGUUAAUUGAUGGGGUCAGCGCAAGCGAAGCUCUUGAUCGAAGCCCCGGUAAACGGCGGCCGUAACUAUAACGGUCCUAAGGUAGCGAAAUUCCUUGUCGGGUAAGUUCCGACCUGCACGAAUGGCGUAAUGAUGGCCAGGCUGUCUCCACCCGAGACUCAGUGAAAUUGAACUCGCUGUGAAGAUGCAGUGUACCCGCGGCAAGACGGAAAGACCCCGUGAACCUUUACUAUAGCUUGACACUGAACAUUGAGCCUUGAUGUGUAGGAUAGGUGGGAGGCUUUGAAGUGUGGACGCCAGUCUGCAUGGAGCCGACCUUGAAAUACCACCCUUUAAUGUUUGAUGUUCUAACGUUGACCCGUAAUCCGGGUUGCGGACAGUGUCUGGUGGGUAGUUUGACUGGGGCGGUCUCCUCCUAAAGAGUAACGGAGGAGCACGAAGGUUGGCUAAUCCUGGUCGGACAUCAGGAGGUUAGUGCAAUGGCAUAAGCCAGCUUGACUGCGAGCGUGACGGCGCGAGCAGGUGCGAAAGCAGGUCAUAGUGAUCCGGUGGUUCUGAAUGGAAGGGCCAUCGCUCAACGGAUAAAAGGUACUCCGGGGAUAACAGGCUGAUACCGCCCAAGAGUUCAUAUCGACGGCGGUGUUUGGCACCUCGAUGUCGGCUCAUCACAUCCUGGGGCUGAAGUAGGUCCCAAGGGUAUGGCUGUUCGCCAUUUAAAGUGGUACGCGAGCUGGGUUUAGAACGUCGUGAGACAGUUCGGUCCCUAUCUGCCGUGGGCGCUGGAGAACUGAGGGGGGCUGCUCCUAGUACGAGAGGACCGGAGUGGACGCAUCACUGGUGUUCGGGUUGUCAUGCCAAUGGCACUGCCCGGUAGCUAAAUGCGGAAGAGAUAAGUGCUGAAAGCAUCUAAGCACGAAACUUGCCCCGAGAUGAGUUCUCCCUGACUCCUUGAGAGUCCUGAAGGAACGUUGAAGACGACGACGUUGAUAGGCCGGGUGUGUAAGCGCAGCGAUGCGUUGAGCUAACCGGUACUAAUGAACCGUGAGGCUUAACCUU